UGCUCUCCACACCUUAACAUAUCCAUCCAUCUCAACCAUAAUACCUAAUUUCAUUUGAGAUUUGUUUUUCUGAAACAGAAAAGCUUCUCUUUUAUCACUCUCUCGACGGCGACUAAAAAUCCACCCAUCUCAACUGCCAACUUCUCUAUUUCUCGACGACAGUGACUGAGUCUUCCUCCCAUUUACAGAUUGCUCAGCUCUCCUCUCUUGAUAGUGAUGUCUUGAUGCAAACUGCACGCACCAUCUUCGAUCUCAUCUUAGCCCAGGUAUUUCUUGUCAAAAUUUCGUGAACUUUAUUUGAUUAGAGGGAGUAUGCUGAGCGAAGGACUACCAAGAAUGACUCAUAGUGGUCCCAACAAUGCUUCUCAGGGUGCCUUGAGUGUGCAUGACGGGUUCUCUUUUGGGCUAUUACUUAACCUGCUCGUGUUCUUGUGCAGGGUGCCUUGAGUUUAUAUUUAUUUUUCUGUUUGUCGUUCUCUGUUGUUUUGCUGGCCUUUGGUGUCAUUGGCUGAUGCUUUAAUGAAGCAAGCUUGAAUGACCAAAAAAAUAAAAAAAAAUAUAGCUAGAAAUAUGAAGAAGAAACAAUUUUUGUUUGGGGAAUGAUUAGAGAUUGUUUUAGUUGGUUUUGGAAUCUCUGAAUUUUGGAUUGUUUGAUUUUGGAGAUUUUUAUAUUUUUUAUAUUUUUUUACAAGUAUAUGGUGCAUAUGCUUAUAUAUGCCCAUAUCUAUCACAUAUAAUUUGGUUGUGUUUAUAUAAUCUUCAAAGAGGUUUUACCUGAAAUUGGAAAUGGUUUCUGCACAAGGUAUUGAGCAA
This is a long non-coding RNA of Prunus persica (peach), 813 nucleotides long. RefSeq lists it as uncharacterized. The transcript has 2 exons. Lineage: Eukaryota; Viridiplantae; Streptophyta; Magnoliopsida; Rosales; Rosaceae. The record is from RefSeq and is a predicted model, not a curated record.